This 161-nucleotide unclassified non-coding RNA is filed under the name Plasmodiophora brassicae. Its description in RNAcentral is "partial internal transcribed spacer 2". The record is from RNAcentral. Lineage: Eukaryota; Endomyxa; Phytomyxea; Plasmodiophorida; Plasmodiophoridae.
UCUGUUCGUUUGCGCGCCCGCGCGCGCAAGACAAUGAGCUUUGCUGCGGCAUAGCUUGAACGAAGCGACCCGGGAUCGUGCGCGCAUUGUUGAUACCCUCGAGAAUGCCGGAGCGGUCCCCGCCGAUCUGCGCGCAAUCGCAGAUCGACACACACACACAU